GACGAACGCUGGCGGCGUGCUUAACACAUGCAAGUCGAACGGUAAGGCCCUUCGGGGUACACGAGUGGCGAACGGGUGAGUAACACGUGGGUGAUCUGCCCUGCACUCCGGGAUAAGCCUGGGAAACUGGGUCUAAUACCGGAUAGGACCACUGCCUGCAUGGGCGGUGGUGGAAAGCUUUUGCGGUGUGGGAGGGGCCCGCGGCCUAUCAGCUUGUUGGUGGGGUGAUGGCCUACCAAGGCGACGACGGGUAGCCGGCCUGAGAGGGUGACCGGCCACACUGGGACUGAGAUACGGCCCAGACUCCUACGGGAGGCAGCAGUGGGGAAUAUUGCACAAUGGGCGCAAGCCUGAUGCAGCGACGCCGCGUGAGGGAUGACGGCCUUCGGGUUGUAAACCUCUUUCAGCACCGACGAAGCGCAAGUGACGGUAGGUGCAGAAGAAGGACCGGCCAACUACGUGCCAGCCGCCGCAGUAA
RNAcentral lists this ribosomal RNA (478 nucleotides) under uncultured bacterium. RNAcentral's name for it is "partial 16S ribosomal RNA". It matches the Rfam family "Bacterial small subunit ribosomal RNA", at positions 28 to 523 of the family's 1533-position model. The record is from RNAcentral.